RNAcentral lists this ribosomal RNA (550 nucleotides) under uncultured bacterium. RNAcentral's name for it is "bacterial SSU rRNA". It matches the Rfam family "Bacterial small subunit ribosomal RNA", at positions 354 to 896 of the family's 1533-position model. The record is from RNAcentral.
GUAGGGAAUCUUCCGCAAUGGGCGAAAGCCUGACGGAGCAACGCCGCGUGAGUGAGAAGGUCUUCGGAUCGUAAAACUCUGUUAUUAGGGAAGAACAUAUGUGUAAGUAACUGUGCACAUCUUGACGGUACCUAAUCAGAAAGCCACGGCUAACUACGUGCCAGCAGCCGCGGUAAUACGUAGGUGGCAAGCGUUAUCCGGAAUUAUUGGGCGUAAAGCGCGCGUAGGCGGUUUUUUAAGUCUGAUGUGAAAGCCCACGGCUCAACCGUGGAGGGUCAUUGGAAACUGGAAAACUUGAGUGCAGAAGAGGAAAGUGGAAUUCCAUGUGUAGCGGUGAAAUGCGCAGAGAUAUGGAGGAACACCAGUGGCGAAGGCGACUUUCUGGUCUGUAACUGACGCUGAUGUGCGAAAGCGUGGGGAUCAAACAGGAUUAGAUACCCUGGUAGUCCACGCCGUAAACGAUGAGUGCUAAGUGUUAGGGGGUUUCCGCCCCUUAGUGCUGCAGCUAACGCAUUAAGCACUCCGCCUGGGGAGUACGACCGCAAGGUUG